CCUACGGGAGGCAGCAGUAAGGAAUCUUCCACAAUGGACGAAAGUCUGAUGGAGCAACGCCGCGUGCAGGAUGAAGGCUUUCGGGUCGUAAACUGCUUUUAUAUGGGAAGAUUAUGACGGUACCAUAUGAAUAAGGACCGGCUAACUACGUGCCAGCAGCCGCGGUAAUACGUAGGGUCCAAGCGAUAUCCGGAAUUACUGGGCGUAAAGCGUGUGUAGGUGGAUUAAUAAGUGUGAUGCGAAAUCCGGCGGCUCAACCGUUUGGACUGUGUCGCAUACUGUUAGUCUAGAGGACGGCAGAGGUAAGUGGAAUUACGGGUGUAGCAGUGAAAUGCGUAGAUAUCCGUAGGAACACCAAUGGCGAAGGCAGCUUACUGGGCCACACCUGACACUGAGACACGAAAGCGUGGGGAGCGAACAGGAUUAGAUACCCUGGUAGUCCACGCCGUAAACGAUGCAUACUAUUAGUAUGGGGUAUCGACCCCCUGUGCUGAGAAGCUAACGCGAUAAGUAUGCCGCCUGGGGAGUACGAGCGCAAGCUUAAAACUACAAAGGAAUUAGACGG
Molecule: ribosomal RNA, 565 nt
Filed under: uncultured bacterium
Lineage: Bacteria
Description: bacterial SSU rRNA
Rfam family: Bacterial small subunit ribosomal RNA
Source: RNAcentral